RNAcentral lists this long non-coding RNA (1322 nucleotides) under Theobroma cacao (cacao). RNAcentral describes it as "long non-coding RNA (TCAC_LNC006122)". The record is from RNAcentral. Lineage: Eukaryota; Viridiplantae; Streptophyta; Magnoliopsida; Malvales; Malvaceae.
CGAAACUCGCCAAAAACAUGGUGUAAAAGCUAAAUAUAUUCAUACAUACUUUAAAUCAAAUAACUGAAGAAUAAAAUUACUUUUACAGUGACACGUGGGCCCCCAACUGACUAAGAAGAUGUAGGGCUACGAACCCUUACUUUCUAGGAUGCAACUCUGAGAUUAAUUCUCGUCUUAAUCAACUAUCAACAAAUUGUCCUGAGCCUGAAAAAUGGAUAGGAAGAGGGGGGAGAUUAAAUAAUCCCAGUGAGUAAACAAUUACCAUCAAAAGCAUCUAAAACCGAGUAGAUUGAGACAAUAUAAAAACGUUAUAUCUCAAUAAUGUUCAUAACACAAAAUUCGUUUCAAUCUAUACCAAAUAAUUUCUUUUCAUCAAAAUUUCUCAGCUUAUGAAUUUCUUAAACUUGGCCCCUACCAGAAUCAUUCUCGCGGGUACCUUCGCCAAGGUAUCCCAUUGAGACCACCAAGACUGUUCAAUGACCCAUACCCAUAAAUAUGUUUUCACAUCUAACACACAACCGUUCCUUGACGUUGGCUGAGUCUCACUCUCACGUGGUGGCCCGAACGUGAGGUGCACUCAAAUCAUACCUUAGGAGAUAUUUCACCCAACAUCUCCCCCUCGGAGGUGAAUAUAUAAUUGAGUUACCAUGCUCCUCUCGUAGGCAGUCCACGAAAACCCCCACCACUGCAGUGACCGUGAGGUGCAUUCAAAUCUUACCUCAGGAGAUACUUCAUCCAACAUCUCCCCCCGGAGGUAAAUAUAUAAUUGGGUUACCGUGCCCCUCUCAUAGGCAGUCCACAAAAACCCCUACCACUACAGUGACUGUUUAAUAUACCACCAGACCCAUAAAAAUUCCAGUAGCAUAAUAUAACGAAUAAAAUGUAAUCCAGUCUAUCGAGACCAAUCCAAAACUAUUCAUAUAUUUCAUGCCAACCCCAAAAAUUUAGCCAUCAUGCUACCAUAGUGUCAUAAGCCACAAUUUCAAUAACAUAUAAAAUCAUAAAUUUCAACAUAGUCUCAAUAUACUCAAUUUUUCCAAAACAAUAUAUGAUUUCAAAACCAGUAUAAAUUUCAUUUUUAUUAAAAAAACAUUUUAAUUGGAAAACAUAAUAUUUUAUAAUUUAAGCUCACCAUUCAAUAAAAACAUCAAACAAGUAUAAUUACUCUAGAUAUUUAAGACGAUAAAUUGUCCACUCACAGUUCUAGAAGUCGAUGUACUCCUAAUCUCAGUCUUCAAGCACAAUUUCUGUACUUUUACCAGUGUAAUUUGCUCACCACCUAUCCACAAUGUACAAUACAUAAUUCACCACAUCAAUGCUUG